Molecule: long non-coding RNA, 1198 nt
Filed under: Fukomys damarensis (Damara mole-rat)
Lineage: Eukaryota; Metazoa; Chordata; Mammalia; Rodentia; Bathyergidae
Description: lncRNA (ENSFDAG00000033321.1)
Source: RNAcentral
CAGUGCGUUGCCUUUCUCUUCAUUCAGUACUCUCAUUCCUAAUCCUAUGUUUUCUCAUAGGUCCCAAGGACCAGCCGGACCUUUCCUUUGAACCCUAGGCACUGGCAUGCAUUUGCUUUCUCUUCGCCUCCCCUCAGGGGUCUCAAGGCAUCUUUAAGAAGGAGACUAAGUUUUCCCCUGGUGAUAAGAGGAAUUCAAAGGCUGCAUUAGGACCUCAUGAGAAAAACUGCCGUUGAAGAUGUGAGGAUAAAUGUCGUGCGUGAGAGCUUCAGGGUGUCCUGGGACGAAUCACCGGCCUUGGCCAUCUCUAGAAACUCUGCAUCCUGCCAUCAGUUCUCUCGGGAGGCAGCAGUAGUCUGAAAGGACACUGUACUGCUUUUGCGAAUGAGAUCCGAUAAUGAGACUGUGGAGCCUUUAAUUUAUGAUGCAUCUGACAGCAUGGUGGUGGACCUGAUUUGGGAUGCAUCUGAUUAUGUCUGCGAGCUGAAAAUAAACCAGCUGGUAUUUGUUCUGAAAGCGUUCUGAGAACACCCUCCUGUUAAUGGCCCGUGGCUUGAUCCGGCGUCUGGUAAACUAAUACUUUGUCAUUUUUACCAUGAAAGUCAGCUCAAAUCAUUAAUGAUCCCAUACCCAUUUGCAGUCUUCUCUUGUCUAGAAUACACCAAUUACUAAGAAAUUAUUCCUAUUAGCUACAUGAUUGAAUGAUAGUAACCUGCCUGUAACUUGUUGGCAGAAAUUCUCUCGUAAUGACAAUAAUGGGCUGUACUUUUGAGUCCUUGCAGGACUCUGUUAAACAGGGAGGGUAGUUAUCAUAUGUUUCUGACCUAUCGUGAACAAUCCUUCUUAAUGACUGUGAAUUGGAGGAAAUGUGAUGUUUUGUAGAUUUGUUUGAAUAUGGGAAUUUACUGUUUUUGUUUAAGUUGUUUGGGGGAAGGAGUCACUGUGCACCAUUCAAAAUGAUGUUUAGAGACCACUUUUUGAUGUGUGCAGAUUGUGAUCAUUGCCAGUAUAUGGAGCCUACCACGGUCUUGCUCUCACGAUGCACAAUGUCUGAUUUUUAAAUAAGAUCCUUCUUAUGUAAUUAUCACCAAAGAAACAGUACCCAUCAGCAUAAGUGACUCUACGAAAAAUACAGAAAGUCUGAAGUCCAAUACUGUCAUGAGAUUGAUAAAUUGAUUUACUUUUUUUUUUUUUUUUU